Molecule: long non-coding RNA, 858 nt
Organism: Acanthopagrus latus (yellowfin seabream)
Lineage: Eukaryota; Metazoa; Chordata; Actinopteri; Spariformes; Sparidae
Exons: 2
Source: RefSeq, a predicted model, not a curated record
AAACUAUAUAAAAAUUAAAUACAUACUCACAAUAUCUACAGUUAGUAAUAAAUUAUGAUUGUUAAAUACUUAAGGCAUCUCAACUGACAACACCCUGUGUAAACUAUGAAAACUUCAUCACGGAUGACUCCACUACAGGAGGAGGCAGCGUACAACACUGGCAGUGCACACGACAGGGGAGGAGGAGGAGGAGGAGGAGGAGGAGGAGGAGGAGGAGUAAUCCUCGUUAAUUGAUCCCCGGCCCACUGAGAGGAGCGUCUGAGCCAAGUCUUAUCCUUAUACUAUCACAGUGCACAGGACAGAGAAGGUCCUAAAGGAGUCCCUCUCAACCUCCUCGACACAAAGGGUUAAAAAAAAAAAGAAAGAAAGAAAGAGAGACGAAGUGAUAACUGAGUUGUUUCAACAGCCUGGACGUCUUUCCUGCUGCCUGUGUGCACCACGAGAGCGAGGCUGCCUCCGUCGCACCACCACGUUCUACAUGUUCUAGCGAUACAGCAUAGCAACCAGCAUAGCAACCACGAGGGGAGGUCUGUCACACGAAUAACACAAGAUCAAUACGCAAAGCUCCUCUCUCCGCUGAAACACUGCAUGAAUCUAUACCUACCGCAAUAAGGUAAACAUCAACAAAGAGGAAUCCCGUCCUUGCCGCCAACAGGGAGACGAGAGGAUGAACACACGCUACAGGUCAGGGGGAGCAGCCGCUGACAACCGUGCUCAGUUUUUUUUUUUUGUUUGUUUGUUUGUCUGUUUGUUAGUGUUGAGAAGAUAGUCACAGCUCAGAUUAACUAAGUCAUGCAAAGCCAUCUCUGUACCUUUUUGAAAAAAAAAAAAAAUGGAAGGAAAAAUCGCUACCGAAGC